AAAAAGUCAAACCUUGGGUUUCCGUGUCCAACUUUAACUAUCCGUCUUAUAUGAAAUUUUUUUUAUAAUUCGUAUUUUUAUUAUUGUUAGAUGAUAAAACAUGAUUAAUAUUUUAUACAUGACUUGUCUUUUUAAUUUUUUUCGUAAUUUUUUCAAAUAAGAUGAAUGGUCAAAUAUUGGACACGAAAACCAGGGUUUGUCUUUUU
Molecule: microRNA precursor, 206 nt
Filed under: Oryza sativa Japonica Group (Japanese rice)
Lineage: Eukaryota; Viridiplantae; Streptophyta; Magnoliopsida; Poales; Poaceae
Description: MIR812 microRNA precursor family
Rfam family: MIR812 microRNA precursor family
Source: Rfam by way of RNAcentral